Long non-coding RNA from Bradysia coprophila, 628 nucleotides. Lineage: Eukaryota; Metazoa; Arthropoda; Insecta; Diptera; Sciaridae. The record is from RefSeq and is a predicted model, not a curated record.
UGUUCCAAAGAUGCCAACGCGAAAGAGACCUAAUUCAAAAUUUUCGUUUGUUAUACGGUCAAACUUGACAGAAGAACAAAAGAAAAAUUUGAAUUGAGUCUCGUUCGUGUCGCUAUGUGUAGCUGGAGGUAGGCGUUGAAAUUAUAGUGCCACUAUGACAUCCAUUGAAAGUAGCUCUAUAACUCAAUAAGUUAAAUCUUAAAAUUUGCCUUGUGUCUCGACCAAAUAUGUAGGUGUGGCGAUUGAUUUGAUUGGAAGUAGUAAGAUCGACCAAAUAUAUAUAUACGAUGUGAGGGUCGAUUGAAAGAUUUUUUUUUUUUUUUAAUAGAUAAGAGUGACACAUCAGUAUGUGAAUUUUAGAGUUGUGACUAAAGUUAAUGAAUUGGUAAGCGAGUAACAAAAUGGGUGUAGCAGAAGUAGGAAUCAUUUAGCUAGCCAUGUUACAAACUAUCGGAAAAUGGGAAUUUGAAUUUGAAAACUGAAAUUAUGAACUCAAAUAGCACUUCCGACGAACAAGUAGAAGUUUUAAUCUUAUUGGUGACCAAAGAAUAUUUAUGUUCAGAAAAGAAAAUAUUCCCAGGUCGUAGCUUCCCACAAUAAUUACUUUUGUAAUUCGUAAAUAUAGAGG